AAAAUGUGAAACGCAGAGAAGUCUGCAUUUCCUUUCGCCCUUUCUUUCUCGCACCCACAGUUACACACACAUACACGCACGAACUCCACACAGUACUCAUAGAAGAUCCAUAAGUAACCGUUGCGCACUUGCAAUCACGAAAUCUCUCUCUCAUCCCCUGCAGCUUUUCUGAAUCGCACUUUCAGCUUCUCGUUGUUCGGAAGUUUUCCGAGUGUUGUUGUUGGUAAUUGAUGUUUCUAUUUUCAAUCUACAGCAUUGAUUUUAUUAGUAUUUGAGAUAUCUGUUAAUUACUUGAAAAACAUGCCAAUUAAUAGAUGCAUUUUGAAGUGACUGAUGUGUGAAUUAUAGUCAAAUUGAAGUUGUAAUUAACGUAUUCAUAUAAACAUCAAUGGCGAUUUGUAGAGGAAUCCGCGAUAAGUAGCCGCCGCUUUUUGCGUGCACUGAACAUGUUUGUAGGUGUGCGUAGCGAUAUAUGUUUUUAUGAUUGUAUUAGAACAACUCAUAAUUGCGUUAUACCUUGAUAUUCCUAAGCUACCAGGUUUUGUAAACCUGCAAAUUAAAGUGUAAAGUAGUUGUAUGUCAAAAGUUACACAUCCAUUGUCAUGUCGAACUCAAGGCAUUUGGCUUGAAUAUGCCAUUAGAUGGAGUAUAUAUAUUUCAGAAUCCACUCUCUUGACUCAAAAUUCAUUAUUCUGAAUUUUGAAUUUGCUGCUGCACAUGUUUAUGCUCACCUCAUAGCUAAUGCUUAUGUGCAGGUUGAAAGUUGCUCUUCAUUCUCUUCUAGUGACAUUUUGGAAAUUCGGAGUUGCAGAAAUCUUAUGGUAUACGAUUUUCUCAGCUUCAAAAAGGUACGAUAUGCAUCUCCGUUCAAUUGUGAUUUUCGAAACUGUAUGGCUGGGUAGUAGUGUAGUACAGUAGUUGCAAACAACAACCGUAUUUCUGUGUUGUUUUAGACAACUUAUGAAGUAGUAUGAAUAGGGUGUUAGUUUAAGCUAAUCUUUACCAGGGUGCUGGUAUCAUGAAUAUAUUGGUAUGCUCUUUGCAAGUCCUGGUUUAUAUAUUUACCCUUUAGUCUUAAUUAUGUUUAGUCGAAAACAGUGUUCAUUAUAACGUUGUUCCCUUGUUCAAGCUUUUACUACUUGAUAAGAUUUUGCUGCAGCUCCCGUCUAUGAAAAAAGGGGUUUUGUUUAGCUUGUGGGAAGCUUUUCCUUUUACGAAUUACCAUCAGAAUUAGUUUGCAAAUUCGCCUCAUGUUGGUGUUGCGGAGCCAAACCAGUUAUUUUGUAAUUUAGGAGCCAAGUGUAUUGAUUGACAUGGAAGAGAAUCAAUUUUUAUUACUCUUUUAUAUCCUCCGAGGAGAAAAUGAGACGUAUAAAAAUCAACUGAAUUUGAAUUUCAGUUGGCUAAAGAUACACUAGCCUGUUGAAGAAUUCGAUGAUCGUCACUAAUAGAAAUGACCACCCUAAGUAUCAGCUACAAUUUACUUACAAGUUAGACAAUACCUAUCUUUUCUUUCCUAAGGUUUAAAACAUCAUGGUACUGAUUACUGAAUGUUGCUAGCUUGUUCAGCCUAGGUGGCUGCCUUGCUGAUUCAGUAGGACACUGCUCCCUAGUUUUCAUCUGGCUUUCCUUUAGUCUUACUCAAUCUGCUGGCUGGAAAAUGCAACCGUGCCAUCAGUGGUCUUGGUGCCCGUGUCUUCUUGUCAAAACCCCUCACACAAACAAACCCUGCGAAAUAAAGUACUUGAUCAGAAAGCAAAUAAAAGGUAUUGCAGCAAGGAAUAACACUUCUUCCUCUUAGUGACCUGAAUGAUUACUAUUCCUCAAAAUUUUGUUUUUAUGAUUUGUCCUGAGAGUGUAUAAAGAAAGCAUGAAACUUGCCAACAUGUUUUUUGAUGCUGAGCAAGUUGUAAUACAUUCUUUUUGGAUGCCAAAGGUAUCUAAUUGUGCCGUUUCUUGUUUGGGAGUCAUCAUUCCGAAGAAGGAUUGAAUGAUGAUUAUGGACUUAAUAAAAAAGAAAAAGUUGAUUGAUGGAAACCUAACUGGUACACAUUAUGUGUAAUUGUUGAGAGCAUGCAUCUAUGUCUGUGUUUACUCUUAUUACUGUAUGUCACUCUUUUUUCAAGUGUAUACAUGUGUUCUGGCCCUGCUCCAUAGUCAAAAAUAGAGGAGACAGGGCUGAUUGGCUGAAGGGAAUACAGAUUUUUCUGUUCGAAAGAUGGACUAGAACCAAGAUAACAUGUUCAUAGAUUAUCUUAAAAAAGAUAAGCUGUCUGCAUUAAUCGGUCAUAAACAGAUUGGAUGAAGAAGCAAAUAUUAUCAACAUAUCUGCAAAUAAGACUCUGGUUUUAACUUUCUCUCGAACCAUCACGUCAGAUAUCCUCGAUGACUCACUCUAUACCAAAUGGUAAACCUUGGAGGUUCUUCAAUUAUUUCUAUAUAAGCUGUAUAAACUUGUUCUCCCAGAUUAUUUUUUCCCCAGUUUCAAGCUUUGUUCUGAUGCUGAAUGCUUAUGCCCAUUUAACUUGAUACAGAGUCUUUUUGAACUUGAAUAUGGUAUUAACAUGCACACUUUUCGUUGAUUUAUUUAGUAGAAAUGGAUUAGAAGUUAAGACAAGCAUUUGGACCUCUGUGGAUUUAAAGUUUUCGACUACAUACCUCUCCAAAAGCAAUGUUGGAUACUUUCUGUGGUUAGGCCUGAUUAACAAAGAACAUAUUAAUGUUAUUUUACUCCCAAAGCAUUUAAAAAAAUAAAUGAUCAUCCUUUAGUUGUCCUUUUACCUUUAAAUAUUGUUGGUAUUGAGGUUCCAAAGUAAACUGUUCGUCGCGGCAGAUUCCAUAGCCAAUCUCGUGGGACGUCAAUUGGGUUGAGGCUGGAGUCAUGGUCUGCAAACACCUGAGAAAUAAGAAAAAUGCUACUGUGAAAACCUUAUUAAAUGGUAAAAUGCUUAUCUUUGACAUGUUCGAGUGAUGAGCUUAAAGUCGGCUGUAUUCACCUCGUUAACUUGAAAGUAUGUACCAUUGAGCGGAAAGCUUCCUCUCAUUGCCGUUCGACAUGGUAUCUGUUAGAGAAGUAUAUAUAGAGAUGAUUAGAAUUCUCAGACCGCUUUCCCAUGACAAACAUUACAGUUAGUUUGCUCUUUCUUUACCAGAAUUGUCCCUCUCACUGUUUGAGAAUGUGCUUCACGUAGGCUGUUGCAUGCAAAGCAUGUUUCAUCAUCACAUAGCCUACCAGCCUCUUGGGAGUUGCACUUUAUUGCAGGUGGAUGAAUAGAAUCCGCUGUUUCACCUGAGAUGGAAUUGAUACAUGACAGAGAAUAAGUUAUUUUGAAAGCCUGGGGAAAAGUUAACCUAUUUCGCCAAAUUACCCUCUACCACUGUAACACAAGCUACUAAUGAGAUUGGAACCUGGGACUUGCAUAGUUAGCUAUGUGCAAUUGUUCCUUACAAACAUGAGUUAUCUAAUUCAUCAGUUUUAGGGUUAAAGUAGUCGGAAGCGGAUGCUUUGCCUUUAGCUUUUUCGAAACAUCUCCUCCUAUGUAUUACAUUACAUUAAUCUUACCAGGUGUCCAUAUUGCCAGAAGAUAGGAGCAUGGAUCAUCUGGUUCUCUUUUGUCGAACUGCAACAUGAAAAGAUGCAAUUAUCGGGAGGAUUAAUUUCAAUAUCAGCUUACAUGCUGCUUAUAUAUGAAUAUUAAACUGAUGUAGUAUCACUGACCCCUUCUAGGAGAGGAUGAGAAUCCGAAAGUUCAUAUCUGUGGAUGGAGAAACAGUUGAUAGUAAGUGCAAACAAAUUUAGAAGAACUGUAUGAAAUAAUAGGCUACCCUCCCAUAUUGGGCUAUCUAUCAGAAGUUAUUGCACAUCUUUACUUUAUUUUAUGAUGUAGAUAUCAGGAGCAUCCACUUACACUUGAUGUUCAGUUCUGAGCCGGCUUAUAUGCUUAAGUUUAGGCACGGGAAUCGAUGCAGCUUCUGGAGUUAAAGCGACCAAGGCUUUUGACAUUUCUACCUGUUGAAGCUCCAUAUUGUUUUCCAUAAAUUUCCUCACAUUUUGAGUGAACUCUGCCAUAUUCAAUGUAAUUGUAGGAAUUUCAUUAGGAUCUUCAAAGUAAGCAUCUUCAAUGUCAACUUCGGGAGCUUUUUGCUCUGGC
Molecule: long non-coding RNA, 4151 nt
Filed under: Nicotiana tabacum (common tobacco)
Lineage: Eukaryota; Viridiplantae; Streptophyta; Magnoliopsida; Solanales; Solanaceae
Description: long non-coding RNA (NTAB_LNC000579)
Source: RNAcentral